Molecule: unclassified non-coding RNA, 2127 nt
Filed under: Hevea brasiliensis (rubber tree)
Lineage: Eukaryota; Viridiplantae; Streptophyta; Magnoliopsida; Malpighiales; Euphorbiaceae
Source: RNAcentral
CCUCACAUCUUGCACUGGCCCAUACAUACUGAAGUAAUUUGAAACAUCCUCCUCUCUGAAAGUGCUAUCAGCUGGGAAAGUCAAGUAGAUCUGUCUUGAGGCGGAGUUAACCAACUCACUCCUAUCAAGCCGAGAUCGGCCAAAUUUGUGCAUAUCCUCACCCACCAUCAAUGCAGCAGAAGCGGCAGCAGCCCUCAGGCUAUCAUAUUGCUGCGGUUGAAUUAGGUUCAUGCACUUGGCAGAAUAAGGGAAAGAAGCAGAACUCAUGAGUUGAGAAGCACCAGCUAACCUCUGCUGUUGAGCAGACUUGGAUCUAAGCAUCUCAUGACACUGCUCCAUCGUGUCAAUCUUGUUAGGUGAAACCACAGAUGUAUUAUCUGAUUCUUCGAUCCCAACAUGAAUAAACCUACAAUUACUCCCAUUCUUGCAGUACCCUCUAGCAAAGUAAAGACAAGGCCUCCAUCCAAAACCGGAACUAGGAUCCUCAGACCCCAUGAUAUCGCUAACGGAGCAGCUCCGCCGGUGGAUAGGCCCACCCCAGUAAGAUGGGAAGUGCAUAGAAUCAGUACCAGCAGCUCCCGCUGCAUUUGGACCUGCCGAAGAGUCCAGUUGAGGGUAAAAAAGAUCUGGGCUUUUGGGUCCAACAUUUGUUGAGCCAUCAUUUAGGAAAGAAAGCUGGUCUUGGAGCUGAAACUCUUCUAGCAAAUCAGAUCCUCCUCCCCUACCAUUAGCAUAGAAAGGUGCAGAGGCAGGAUUAAGAGAACUACCAUUAGGACUAAUCAAGUCCUCAGAGUGGCUUGGAAGGUCAGAGAUAGCACUCCAAGACGAAGAAGCAUUUGAAGAAGGGUUUGGGACGGUAAGAGAAGGUGGGAUACUGAAUCCAAGCCUUGCAGGAGGGUAAAUUUGCCUAGAAAUUGUUAUUGGGUUGCUAGAAAAAAGAGAUGGAGGUGAUGGACUAGAAGAAGUAUUUGUAGGGGAGUUGAGUCCUAGUUCUCUCCUGGCCUUGAGGAUCACCGAGUGAACAAGGGCCUCCGGACCAAAAGCUAACCUAAUCAUUUCUUUUUCACCAUGGUCUUGAAUCAAAAGGAGACCCAUGAUUUUAGAGGCAUCUUCUGGGUCUAGGCUUUGGAUCCUUGAGAACACAAUCCUUGUUGCUUCAUAACCAUCCAUGUUGCUAGAAUUUGAGUUUGGUAGUGGGUUUCACACCAAACCCACCCUUCCAGAGCAAAGCUUUGUUUGCUUUGUCUAUGCUAAUAGUGACUUGCCUUGCCUUUGAUUUGUAAGAUUACUCAUGUCCUCUCUUUACAAGUAAAACUUCUUUCUCAACUACAAACCCUACCUACCAACUUGAAAGAAGAGUAUUAGACUAGUGCCUUUCUCUUAUUCUUGCAAAACCCAAGAAAGAAAUAUAAAGCGAAAGAAGAAAAAGAAAAGAAAGCGUUAAAAAAGGAGUAUUCCCGUGUGGGAAUUAAAAGGAGGAAACUAAAAUAAAGGAGCAAGCUAAUAGUUGCCUUAGUUAAAAGCCAAAUAAAUUAAAAAUGGUAGUUGAAUUUCUUUAUAAAGCGAACCAUGAACAAGAGAUAGAACUAGCAAAAGGAGGAGAAGAUGGCACUCUAUUCUCCUUUUCCUUCUUUUAAUUUUUCUUGCAAGUUGAUAAUAACAAUGAAAGGUAUAGAAAUUUAAACCCAGGCCAAAGAGUACGUCUUACCCAUGAAAGAAAUGCCCUUUAUUUCUCUCCACGAACCAAGAAGAUUCACAGUAAGCUCGAUUGAAUUUCUUUAAUUAGUUCUCUUUUCAUGACUCUGCUCCUUUCUCAAAUUUACUACAAAGGCCCGACCACCGCUUUCUCUCUAGGCUGGUUGCAGAAGUUCUGAGCAGUAGUAGUAGCAACAGUCGAACAAUCAAUUACUUCACUGCAGCGGCUGCCGUAUUUGGGCCCUGAGCUAGAAGACAGUCAAAGCUGUGUCUUGACACACUCUCUCUCCUAAAUUAUGAAUGGAGUUGAUGAGGUAAAUACACCGGGGAGAGUUGUAGUGAGAGAGCGUGGGCAGUUGCAAAUUUGGGUUCCUGGAGCGGAUCCGGAUCUCUGCCUCAAAUAAUGCACGUUCCUUAGCGAAGCCCUGGCAC